AGAGUUUGAUCCUGGCUCAGAACGAACGUUGGCGGCGUGGAUUAGGCAUGCAAGUCGAACGAAUCCCAUCUGGGUAACUGGGUGGGGGAAGUGGCGAAAGGGGCAGUAAGGCGUGGGUAACCUACCCCGGGGACCGGGAUAGCCUUCCUAACGGAGGGGUAAUACCGGGCGAUGCAGCGAGGGCGCAUGUUCUUGCUGUGAAAUGAAUUUCGCCUCGGGAGGGGCUCACGUGCUAUUAGCUUGUUGGUGGGGUGACGGCCUACCAAGGCGAAGAUGGCUAGCGGGUGUGAGAGCACGACCCGCGCCACUGGCACUGCGACACUGGCCAGACUCCUACGGGAGGCUGCAGUCGAGGAUCUUCGGCAAUGGGCGCAAGCCUGACCGAGCGACGCCGCGUGUGCGAAGAAGGCCUUCGGGUUGUAAAGCACUGUCGAGGGGGAGGAAGCCGCAAGGUUGACCGACCCCUGGAGGAAGCACGGGCUAAGUUCGUGCCAGCAGCCGCGGUAAGACGAACCGUGCGAACGUUGUUCGGAUUCACUGGGCUUAAAGGGCGCGUAGGCGGGUCACCAAGUCCGGGGUGAAAUCUUUCGGCUCAACCGGAAAAGGGCCUUGGAUACUGGUGAUCUCGAGGGGGGUAGGGGCGUGUGGAACUUCCGGUGGAGCGGUGAAAUGCGUAGAUAUCGGAAGGAACGCCGGUGGCGAAAGCGACGCGCUGGACCCCUUCUGACGCUGAGGCGCGAAAGCCAGGGGAGCAAACGGGAUUAGAUACCCCGGUAGUCC
Molecule: ribosomal RNA, 780 nt
Filed under: uncultured bacterium
Lineage: Bacteria
Description: bacterial SSU rRNA
Rfam family: Bacterial small subunit ribosomal RNA
Source: RNAcentral